CACCCUGGCAGCUCCGCGGGAUGAGUCUGCUGCUUCGAGGGCCCAGCAGGGCCUGCCCAGGAGCCCCGGACCUGGCCAGCUUCCCGUUACCCGCCCCGCACCAUUGUUCCCGCCUGGUGCCAGCCCUGUGCUCUCCCGCCCCGGCCUCUGGCCCAGAGGGCACCUCAAGCCCCACACCAGCCUGGCUCCGAUUUCCCAGAUACCAGACUUGCUCACACUGGAGCAGAAGCAGGUUUCAGGAGGCCUGUGGUUUGAAUUUCCGGACCACCCGGACCUGCUCCGUGGCCUUGGGCAACCCAGGCUCCUGGACUUCCCCUUUUUUGGCCGUGCCACACGGGACGCCAGAUCUUAGUUCCCUGACCAGAGACCGAACCUGUGUCCCCUAAAGAGGAAGUGCGGAGUCUUAACCACUGGACUGCCAGGAAGCCCUCCCUCGGCAUUGUCUUCCCCUGUGC
Bos taurus (domestic cattle) is the source of this 455-nucleotide long non-coding RNA. The record is from Ensembl. Lineage: Eukaryota; Metazoa; Chordata; Mammalia; Artiodactyla; Bovidae.